UGUUUGCACAGGUGCUUUCAACUUUUAGCUCCCCUGAAAGCUGUGAAGACAUAUGGCCACUGUCUAUGCACCCUUCUUUAAGAGGCAAUGAACAGGGAGCACUUUUACUGAUCUCUUCUGAGAACACAGGUUUCCCAGAACCUUCAACAGCACAAGAAACAGAAGCAUUUUCUGAAGUCUUGUCUAUUGUUUUUGAAGAAGCAUUGCUGAACUGAAUACUGUAUUCCUCUGGAAGAGUAGAAUCAUGUCUAGUUAAAGAAGCAACCUCCAUUAGCUGCAGAACAUCACCACAAGUAGACUUCAAAAAGGAAAUUCCAUUGGUUUGGAUCGCCCGGAAGACAUCUUGAAUCUAAGGCAGCAUGGAGAAACAGGCUGGCUUUUCCAUAUACCAGCAGCCAUCUCUGAUGAUGUUUUCAGUGCACUUGGAGAAGAUGCCUCAUGUUUUGAAAUCUGCUUUGGUUGAGCUGGGUCAUCUACGAAGUCUUUAAGGAAAAAAGUAAACUGUUGCUAUCACGUUUGAAAACCAACCAAACAAAUACCAAAACUGUAAGAGCUUAUUUUUUCAGAAGCUACAAUGCUUUCAUUUGCCUUGAACACAGUGGAGCACAGUUUUAGCUGAUACUGUACUGUUAUUAUUAUUGUAACUAACUUGGAAAUAAAAUGUAAUCCUUUUCUCUCAAAGCAGCUCAAUAGCCACCACAGAAUGUCUUCCCUGCGUGCUAGAAUCAAUCAGUCUUUGGAAACUGACAAUAGCCCAGAUGCAGUAUAGAAUUGGAAGAAAAGUUCUGUAAUGACAUAUUAUGGUUAUAAAUAAUGAUCAGAAUGUAAAGAAUUAUG
Pogoniulus pusillus (Red-fronted tinkerbird) is the source of this 837-nucleotide long non-coding RNA. RefSeq lists it as uncharacterized. The transcript has 3 exons. Lineage: Eukaryota; Metazoa; Chordata; Aves; Piciformes; Lybiidae. The record is from RefSeq and is a predicted model, not a curated record.